RNAcentral lists this ribosomal RNA (253 nucleotides) under uncultured bacterium. RNAcentral's name for it is "partial 16S ribosomal RNA". It matches the Rfam family "Bacterial small subunit ribosomal RNA", at positions 524 to 776 of the family's 1533-position model. The record is from RNAcentral.
UACGUAUGGAGCAAGCGUUAUCCGGAUUUACUGGGUGUAAAGGGAGCGUAGGCGGCUCUGUAAGCCUGAUGUGAAAAUUUGGGGCUCAACCCCAAACGUGCAUUGGAAACUACAGGGCUUGAGUGCCGGAGAGGCAGGCGGAAUUCCUAGUGUAGCGGUGAAAUGCGUAGAUAUUAGGAGGAACACCAGUGGCGAAGGCGGCCUGCUGGACGGUAACUGACGCUGAGGCUCGAAAGCGUGGGGAGCAAACGGG